Non-coding RNA from Chelonoidis abingdonii (Abingdon island giant tortoise), 164 nucleotides. The record is from RefSeq and is a predicted model, not a curated record. Lineage: Eukaryota; Metazoa; Chordata; Testudines; Testudinidae.
AAACCAGCCCCAGGACCGACCCCUAGGGCACUCCGCUUGAUACCGGCUGCCAACUAGACAUCGAGCCAUUAAGCACUACCCAUUGAGUCUGACAAUCAAGCCAGAUUUCUAUCGACCUUAUAGUCCAUUCAUCCAAUCCAUACUUCUUUCACUUGCUGGCAAAA